AGAGCGAACGCUGGCGGCAGGCCUAACACAUGCAAGUCGAGCGCCCGUAGCAAUACGGGAGCGGCAGACGGGAUAGUAACACGUGGGAACGCGCCCUUCGGUUCGGAAUAACUCAGGGAAACUUGAGCUAAUACCGAAUACGCCCUUACGGGGAAAGAUUUAUUGCCGAAGGAACGGCCCGCGUCCGAUUAGCUAGUUGGUGAGGUAAUGGCUCACCAAGGCUACGAUCGGUAGCUGGUCUGAGAGGAUGACCAGCAUCACUGGGACUGAGACACGGCCCAGACUCCUACGGGAGGCAGCAGUGGGGAAUAUUGGACAAUGGGCGCAAGCCUGAUCCAGCCAUGCCGCGUGGAUGAUGAAGGCCUUAGGGGUUGUAAAGUCCUUUUAAACGGGGAAGAUAAUGAACGGUACCCGUAGAAUAAGCCCCGGCUAACUUCGUGCCAGCAGCCGC
This 451-nucleotide ribosomal RNA is filed under the name uncultured bacterium. Its description in RNAcentral is "SSU rRNA". It matches the Rfam family "Bacterial small subunit ribosomal RNA", at positions 26 to 518 of the family's 1533-position model. The record is from RNAcentral.